AACGAACGCUGGCGGCAUGCCUAACACAUGCAAGUCGAACGAGACCUUCGGGUCUAGUGGCGCACGGGUGCGUAACGCGUGGGAACCUGCCCUUAGGUUCGGAAUAACUCCCCGAAAGGGGUGCUAAUACCGGAUAAUGUCUUCGGACCAAUGAUUUAUCGCCUUUGGGUGGGCCCGCGUUGGUUUAGCUAGUUGGUAGGGUAAAAGCCUACCAAGGCGACGAUCCAUAGCUGGUCUGAGAGGCUGAUCAGCCACACUGGGACUGAGACACGGCCCAGACUCCUACGGGAGGCAGCAGUGGGGAAUAUUGGACAAUGGGCGAAGGCCUGAUCCAGCAAUGCCGCGUGAGUGAUGAAGGCCUUAGGGUUGUAAAGCUCUUUUACCCGGGAUGAUAAUGACAGUACCGGGAGAAUAAGCUCCGGCUAACUCCGUG
This 433-nucleotide ribosomal RNA is filed under the name uncultured bacterium. Its description in RNAcentral is "partial 16S ribosomal RNA". It matches the Rfam family "Bacterial small subunit ribosomal RNA", at positions 29 to 507 of the family's 1533-position model. The record is from RNAcentral.